CCUACGGGAGGCUGCAGUGAGGAAUAUUGGUCAAUGGACGAGAGUCUGAACCAGCCAAGUAGCGUGAAGGAUGACUGCCCUAUGGGUUGUAAACUUCUUUUAUAUGGGAAUAAAAUGUUCCACGUGUGGGAUUUUGUAUGUACCAUAUGAAUAAGGAUCGGCUAACUCCGUGCCAGCAGCCGCGGUAAUACGGAGGAUCCGAGCGUUAUCCGGAUUGCUUGGGUUUAAAGGGAGCGUAGGUGGAUUGAUAAGUCAGUUGUGAAAGUUUGCGGCUCAACCGGAAAAUUGCAGUUGAAACUGGCAGUCUUGAGUACAGUAGAGGUGGUCGGAAUUCGUGGUGUAGCGGUGGAAUGCUUAGAUAUCACGAAGAACUCCGAUUGCGAAGGCAGCUCACUGGACUGCAACUGACACUGAGGCUCGAAAGUGUGGGUAUCAAACAGGAUUAGAUACCCGGGUAGUC
Molecule: ribosomal RNA, 460 nt
Filed under: uncultured bacterium
Lineage: Bacteria
Description: partial 16S ribosomal RNA
Rfam family: Bacterial small subunit ribosomal RNA
Source: RNAcentral